UACAGAGGUCUCAAGCGUUGUUCGGAUUCAUUGGGAGUAAAGGGUGCGUAGGUGGCGCGGUAAGUCGGGUGUGAAAUCUCGGAGCUUAACUCCGAAAUUGCAUUCGAUACUGCCGUGCUCGAGGACUGGAGAGGAGACUGGAAUUCAUGGUGUAGCAGUGAAAUGCGUAGAGAUCAUGAGGAAGACCAGUGGCGAAGGCGGGUCUCUGGACAGUUCCUGACACUGAGGAGCGAAAGCCAGGGGAGCAAACGGG
This 253-nucleotide ribosomal RNA is filed under the name uncultured bacterium. Its description in RNAcentral is "partial 16S ribosomal RNA". It matches the Rfam family "Bacterial small subunit ribosomal RNA", at positions 524 to 776 of the family's 1533-position model. The record is from RNAcentral.